GGAAAAAAUUACAUGUAUAAAAGGGAAGAUGUGAUGUGGUCCAAAGAAAGGAGAGGUCUCAGUUAUCCACAAAUCCUUUGUGAACUCUGUAUUGGCACUUGCUUCUUUGGCAUUUCAGCUUGUUUGAAUUAUAUGUGGUUUAGAGUUCAGUAACCAGUGACAGCCAAAGAGAAAAUAAAUGAAAACAGUGAGAAAAACUGCUGCUGUUCCAAAUAGGGCCCAGCCAUGGAAGAAACUCAUGCCUUUUGGAAAUUAAGUUAGUGGAGCUUUGUGUGUGGAUAGGAAUUUAGCACUUCAGCGCUCCUUGCAGGAAGAGGACCCUGACUGAGUGGAAGCAACUUCAAGGAGCAGACCACAGGCAGUAACAUCUGUGCAAGCUGCAGUCCCUCUGCUUUGGUGGAGUCACUUGUACAGAUAGGAAAAUUAACACUGACUCUGGCAGCGUGUGUGUAUGUGCAAACAGGGGCAGAACUUCCCAAGGGAAGUCAGGUUUGAUGCUGAAGUGACUUCAGCAUAAAACUAUGGAUGAAUAACUGAUCAAUAAUUUAAGACAUAAAUUUUCAUUACUCUCACCCUAUAAGAGAGGUCUGGGGACCAUACCAUUAAAUAUUAAACACUAUUUUCAAUUUCAUGCUCUGCAGCAAAUAAGCUUUGGCUGCAAGUACAGUUUCUAUAGUGGACAUACAAUUACUGGAGUACAGUCUUGUUUCUAAUAAGCCAUUUGUAUUCCUACUAUAGGUGCGUACUUUGUGGCACGAUCCCAAGAACAUUGGCUGGAAAGAUUAUACUGCUUACAGGUGGCAUUUGAUUCAUAGACCUAAAACAGGAUUAAUAAAAGUUUUAGUGUAUGAAGGGAAACAAGUCAUGGUGGAUUCUGGACCAAUCUAUGAUACAACCUUUGCUGGUGGACGAUUAGGUCUUUUUGUCUUCUCUCAAGAGAUGGUCUAUUUCUCUGACCUCAAAUAUGAAUGCAGAGAUGCUUGAGCAAUGGUUGCUGCAUUACCAGCAAAGUACUGUAAAUGCUAUGCAACCUAGACACCUCAGUACAUUCUGGUACUCCCAGUUUCUAUUAUUGUAUACCUCCUGUCCUCUGUCCUCGUGCUCCACUCACCAGGUGCCUCCCUGCUGCCAGGAGUGCCUCAGCCAUCCCUUCACCCAAGUGCCUUCUCACAGCCAGGAUUAAUGAAACCUAAACGUGAGCGUCUGACCCACCACUGAAGCAGUAGCAGAUUGAUACGUUAGAACACUUUUGUAGAGUGAAAACAUGGGGUUUUAUUUGUCUUUUUUUUUUUUUAAAGAAUGACGUUUACAUAUAAAAAUGUAAUUACUUAAUGUAUUUAUAUAUAUAUAUGGAGAAAAAGAGGGGGGUGAUGAUUAUGAGUCAUUGUCUUUAAGUGAGGAAAAAUGUGUUUGAAUAACUUUUUAGGUGUAUGGUUGAUACUUCUGUGCUCUGAUCAGGACUGGACUUCAGUAACACAAAGCUUCUGGGUCUAACUUUAGCAAAGUAAUGGAGGGCUGCACCAACAGUUUCUACAAUAACGAUGAAAAUGCCUUUGGAUAAUAAAGAUCAGUUAUGAAGACUUCUUGAUCCAAAAAGAUGUUCUUUAGCUGAUGAGGAUGCUUUUAAUACACCUAUUAAAAUCACAGUUGGUAGAAAUGUCUGAUUUGCAACUUGGAGCAUAGCCUAGUUGAAGCUUAAUUCAGGCCAAACAGAAUUGGUCUAGAAACUUACCACGUGAAAGGGAAGAAUGAGUCAUGUAAACAAACAAAGCAAUCACUAUCGUCUGACUUUCACAAAGUUAUUUCCAGUUGUUCUGUUUCCAUCAUAUUUUGCAUUCGCUUGUAAUAAAGAAUAUACAAUGACCAUGUGGAGCAAAAUGAACCUGAACCACUUUCCCCACCUCUGCUGCAAAAAGCACUUUGAGAUCCUGAAUCCUGAUGUGGGUUUCUGAAAAGGUGGCAAGGCCACUAUUGCUUAAUUUGGUAACAUAUGAAUCUAAGGUUCCACUUAUAAAUAUUUUGUUAGUAUUUAUUAAGAUUAUCACACGGAGCUACCUUCUCUGAUAAUUUAUUUUAAAGCAUGUUAUAUAAUGUAUUAGUAACACAUUCACAAAUAAUAUUUUAAAGCUGUUUGUAAAAGCAUAUCACAAUAUGUAGAUUUUGUCAAAGCAUGGUAUACACUUAAGUAUAGUUUCAUGGGUUAUAUUCAUGUAUACUUUAAAGUUAAAUGAAUAAUAAUAAGGAAUUUAUAAAUGGAACCUUAAUAUAUAUCCAGUUACCCUAAUUUUAAUAUUUUGUAUUGAUACCUAUGUCUACUGUAUAUAGAACUUCUUAAAUAAUGCUGAAGGGAUACCAGUGUUUAUUCUAAACAGAUACAACAGUUACUCAGAUAUACAAUAGUAUAAACAUGCUUAACUUUGUUUGUUUUGCUUUGUUUAAGUUGUAUGAGCUUUGUUCACAGAAAGAACACAUACUGGUGUAAUUUUAUUCAUAGAUGGGUGAACUAAUGGAAUAAUACAGUACCUCUGCCGCCUAUAGGGCACAGUGAGCUAAACCCUUGAAACAGAUCUUGUUGCUAUAUUCAUUAGAAAGGAAUCCACAGUUACUGGCUUUAUUUUAUAGUGUUCAUAUUAUCAAAUCUUUUUUUUUUUGUUUUGUUUUGUUUCAGACUUUUUUUUUUUUUGCUGUUUUGUUGCUUUUUGUUUUUUUGGUGUUUUUUUAUUUGUUUGUUUGGCUUUUUUUGCCCCCUUUUUAAGGUUUUUUAAAUGUUUCAGUUUCUUUUGGUGCUUCAAAUUGUGUCCCCAUGUCCCAAGCAGAAGGGAAGGGUAACUUCAUUAAAUGUAGUGAUUGUAAUGGCUAUGUAGGUUUUUUUUUUUUUGUCAGAGACAGACAUCAAUGUGGGGAGGAAGAUGUUAAUAUUUGGACUGUAUCAUAGUUUUCCUAUUCUAUGUAAAUUAUUUAUGAUGUUUUUUUAAAUUUCUUUUUCUUUUUUUUUCCUUGCAAGUGUGUGUGAGAGAGUGAGAUCAAUGAAAUUUCAUUUGUUUUGCCAAAGAUUGUAAAUAAUUAUUUAUUUGUUCACAUGGACGGAACUUUAUCAUUUAACGUCCUGAUUCAUUUAGUCAGAUCCUCAUUUAUAUAUAUAUUAAGAAAUUAAUGAUAGGAAAUAAACUGUAAAAAGGUUUUAUAUAAAAAACUCUCUUUACCUUUUUUAUAGUUAAAAUGUUUCUUUAAAGAAAAUAUUCCAUUCUCCAAAGCUCUCAGUUAAAUAAUCCUCCUGCCUUGCCAUAAACCAGUUUGUUUCAAGCAAACCACCAAAUCUGUUGCUUAGUUACAAAUCACUAUCUUCUAAGGUUGUAAACAGCAGAUUUCCUGCUCACUCUGACAAGACAUCAUUCCCCAUAAAGUCUUUAUCUGGCAGACUAUCCCAGGUUUUAUUUAUAACAUUGCAACUGAGAAAUUUUGGUCCUGCUUCUCUAAAUUGUCUCUUGGC
Strigops habroptila (Kakapo) is the source of this 3490-nucleotide long non-coding RNA. Lineage: Eukaryota; Metazoa; Chordata; Aves; Psittaciformes; Psittacidae. The record is from Ensembl.